Molecule: ribosomal RNA, 217 nt
Filed under: uncultured bacterium
Lineage: Bacteria
Description: partial 16S ribosomal RNA
Rfam family: Bacterial small subunit ribosomal RNA
Source: RNAcentral
CGUCUCAGUUCAGAUUGCAGGCUGCAACUCGCCUGCAUGAAGUCGGAAUUGCUAGUAAUCGCAGAUCAGCAUGCUGCGGUGAAUACGUUCCCGGGCCUUGUACACACCGCCCGUCACACCAUGGGAGUCGGUAACACCCGAAGUCGGUAGCCUAACCGUAAGGAGGGCGCCGCCGAAGGCAGGCCUGGUGACUGGGGUGAAGUCGUAACAAGGUACC